CCCGAACCGCACGAUGAGCAUAGACUUUCCCUGCCCGGCCGGCCUACAGAGGAAAAGCCCCGAGAAGUACUGCUGCACGCCGUUCUUGUCGACAAACUCCAAGUCGUUCGAGAGAACGCAAGGCGCCUGGUGUUACAUGUAAAACAUUAAAACAUUGUUCUCCGAUAGCUUAAGUUAUGGUAUCAACGGUUGGGUCUUUUAGUGCUCUACUCUCUCUAACAUGAGUACUGUUGAAGGUAUCAAACGGAAACACUGAGCUAUUUUUUCGCACCUGGAACCGAAGGAAGUUCAUCAGCGCGGGGUUUCAAGACCGGCCCCACCGGCCGGCGAAGCCUCGGUGGUUGCGCUCGACGACGGUGAAUAGGAGCGGCU
Molecule: long non-coding RNA, 372 nt
Filed under: Ananas comosus (pineapple)
Lineage: Eukaryota; Viridiplantae; Streptophyta; Magnoliopsida; Poales; Bromeliaceae
Description: long non-coding RNA (ACOM_LNC009560)
Source: RNAcentral